This 437-nucleotide ribosomal RNA is filed under the name uncultured Pseudolabrys sp. RNAcentral describes it as "bacterial SSU rRNA". It matches the Rfam family "Bacterial small subunit ribosomal RNA", at positions 945 to 1382 of the family's 1533-position model. Lineage: Bacteria; Pseudomonadati; Pseudomonadota; Alphaproteobacteria; Hyphomicrobiales; Xanthobacteraceae. The record is from RNAcentral.
AUUAAUUCGAUGCAAACGCGAAAACCUUACCUACCCUUGACAUGUCCGGAAUCCCGAAGAGAUUUGGGAGUGCUCGCAAGAGAACCGGAACACAGGUGCUGCAUGGCUGUCGUCAGCUCGUGUCGUGAGAUGUUGGGUUAAGUCCCGCAACGAGCGCAACCCUUGUCAUUAGUUGCCAUCAUUCAGUUGGGCACUCUAAGGCGACUGCCGGUGAUAAGCCGGAGGAAGGUGGGGAUGACGUCAAGUCCUCAUGGCCCUUACGGGCUGGGCUACACACGUGCUACAAUGGCGGUGACAGAGGGAUGCGAGGGCGCGAGCCUUGGCAAAUCUCAAAAAGCCGUCUCAGUUCGGAUUGGGGUCUGCAACUCGACCCCAUGAAGUUGGAAUCGCUAGUAAUCGCGGAUCAGCACGCCGCGGUGAAUACGUUCCCGGGCCUU